This 74-nucleotide transfer RNA is filed under the name Ameiurus melas (black bullhead). Its description in RNAcentral is "tRNA-Thr". The stretch from base 8 to 72 matches the Rfam family "tRNA". Rfam says of the family: Transfer RNA (tRNA) molecules are approximately 80 nucleotides in length. Their secondary structure includes four short double-helical elements and three loops (D, anti-codon, and T loops). Further hydrogen bonds mediate the characteristic L-shaped molecular structure. tRNAs have two regions of fundamental functional importance: the anti-codon, which is responsible for specific mRNA codon recognition, and the 3' end, to which the tRNAs corresponding amino acid is attached (by aminoacyl-tRNA synthetases). tRNAs cope with the degeneracy of the genetic code in two manners: having more than one tRNA (with a specific anti-codon) for a particular amino acid; and 'wobble' base-pairing, i.e. permitting non-standard base-pairing at the 3rd anti-codon position. Lineage: Eukaryota; Metazoa; Chordata; Actinopteri; Siluriformes; Ictaluridae. The record is from RNAcentral.
GUGCUGUGCAUUAGUUGGUUAAGGCACCUGUCUAGUAAACAGGAGAUCCUGGGUUCAAAUCCCAGCGAUGCAUG